ACCCAGACUCCUACGGGAGGCAGCAGUGGGGAAUAUUGCACAAUGGGGGAAACCCUGAUGCAGCGACGCCGCGUGAGCGAUGAAGUAUUUCGGUAUGUAAAGCUCUAUCAGCAGGGAAGAAGAUGACGGUACCUGACUAAGAAGCCCUGGCUAACUACGUGCCAGCAGCCGCGGUAAUACGUAGGGGGCAAGCGUUAUCCGGAUUUACUGGGUGUAAAGGGAGCGUAGACGGCGAUGCAAGCCAGAUGUGAAAGCCCGGGGCUCAACCCCGGGACUGCAUUUGGAACUGUGUGGCUGGAGUGUCGGAGAGGCAGGCGGAAUUCCUAGUGUAGCGGUGAAAUGCGUAGAUAUUAGGAGGAACACCAGUGGCGAAGGCGGCCUGCUGGACGAUGACUGACGUUGAGGCUCGAAAGCGUGGGGAGCAAACAGGAAUAGAUACCCCCGUAC
This 447-nucleotide ribosomal RNA is filed under the name uncultured bacterium. RNAcentral describes it as "bacterial SSU rRNA". It matches the Rfam family "Bacterial small subunit ribosomal RNA", at positions 329 to 793 of the family's 1533-position model. The record is from RNAcentral.